AACGCACGAGACCUGCGGACCUGCGGAGGGAUCAUUAGUGAACGCCCUCACGGGCUUAUAACUAUUCCAAACCUCUGUGAACCGUGCCCUUCGGGGCUAUUUUACAAACAUGGUGUAAUGAACGUCAUAUAUCAUAACAAAACGAAACUUUUAACAAUGGAUCUCU
Molecule: unclassified non-coding RNA, 166 nt
Filed under: soil metagenome
Description: partial contains 5.8S ribosomal RNA, internal transcribed spacer 2, and large subunit ribosomal RNA
Source: RNAcentral